AUUGAACGCUGGCGGCAGGCCUAACACAUGCAAGUCGAGCGAGUGGCGGACGGGUGAGUAAUGUCUGGGAAACUGCCUGAUGGAGGGGGAUAACUACUGGAAACGGUAGCUAAUACCGCAUACCAUCAGAUGUGCCCAGAUGGGAUUAGCUUUUUGGUGGGGUAAAGGCUCACCCAGGCGAAGAUCCCUAGCUGGUCUGAGAGGAUGACCAGCCAUACUGUAACUGAGACACGGUCCAGACUCCUACGGUAGGCAGCAGUGGGGAAUAUUGCACAAUGGGCGCAAGCCUGAUGCAGCCAUGCCGCGUGUAUGAAGAAGGCCUUCGGGUUGUAAAGUACUUUCAGCGAGGAGGCGUUACCCGCAGAAGAAGCACCGGCUAACUCCGUGCCAGCAGCCGCGGUAAUAC
This 406-nucleotide ribosomal RNA is filed under the name uncultured bacterium. RNAcentral describes it as "partial 16S ribosomal RNA". It matches the Rfam family "Bacterial small subunit ribosomal RNA", at positions 30 to 526 of the family's 1533-position model. The record is from RNAcentral.